Molecule: long non-coding RNA, 201 nt
Filed under: Lathyrus oleraceus (garden pea)
Lineage: Eukaryota; Viridiplantae; Streptophyta; Magnoliopsida; Fabales; Fabaceae
Description: Pisum sativum (pea) long non-coding RNA (PSAT_LNC019315)
Source: RNAcentral
AAGUUUUAAACAUAUUUUGUCAAUGUUGUUGAAAGAAAUUACGUUUUAGUAUCUAAUAAGUUAACUAUAAGAUUAACAAAAAUAACAAACACAAUUUAGUAGAAGUUCCAGUCUUGUUUGGGCUUUUUUUGCGCAUAUGGACGAUUUCGGGAAAAAUACCAUAUCUCUUUUUUUUUUCUUUUUUAACAUUGUUAAUUUUAG